AUUGAACGCUGGCGGCAGGCCUAACACAUGCAAGUCGAGCGGAUGAAGGGAGCUUGCUCCUGGAUUCAGCGGCGGACGGGUGAGUAAUGCCUAGGAAUCUGCCUGGUUGUGGGGGAUAACGUCCGGAAACGGGCGCUAAUACCACAUACGUCCUGAGGGAGAAAGUGGGGGAUCUUCGGACCUCACGCUAUCAGAUGAGCCUAGGUCGGAUUAGCUAGUUGGUGGGGUAAAGGCCUACCAAGGCGACGAUCCGCAACUGGUCUGAGAGGAUGAUCAGUCACACUGGAACGGGGACACGGUCCAGAGUCCUGCGGUAGGCAGCAGUCGCCAAUAUUGGCCAAUGGGCGGAAGCCUGAUCCAGCCGUGCGGCGUGUGUGAAGAAGGUCUUCGGAUUGUAAAGCACUUUAAGUUGGGAGGAAGCGCAGUAAGUUAAUACCUUGCUGUUUUGACGUUACCGACUGAAUAAGCACCGGCUAACUUCGUG
This 484-nucleotide ribosomal RNA is filed under the name uncultured bacterium. RNAcentral describes it as "partial 16S ribosomal RNA". It matches the Rfam family "Bacterial small subunit ribosomal RNA", at positions 30 to 507 of the family's 1533-position model. The record is from RNAcentral.